This is a small nuclear RNA of Nannospalax galili (Upper Galilee mountains blind mole rat), 126 nucleotides long. The record is from Ensembl. Lineage: Eukaryota; Metazoa; Chordata; Mammalia; Rodentia; Spalacidae.
GUGUUGUAUGAAAGGAAAGAAGUUUAGCACUCCCUUUGACAAAGAUGAAAGAGGUCCUUGGGCCUAACAACACUCAUAGAGUUAAGGCAUUGCCACAAACUUUGUGGCAUUUAACACUAUUUUUUU